CGCGCGCGCGCGCGCCUGAGUCACCCCCGCCCGCUCCCCCGCGCGGCGAGGAGCGCGGCCGCCGGCUCGCGAGGCUCCGCAUCCGCUCGAGCAUCUCCGGCUCCCGGGCGUCUGGAAGCCGGCGGGGCGCAGAAUGUUCCAGGAACGUCGGGACGCGUCCACCGAUGGCGGACUUUUGGGCGGAGGCGCCGCGCCCCCUGGCGGCCCCCGCGGGGAUUGCAGGCGGGAGCUGGACCAGGAGUCCAUCCCUCCGCACGCCCGUUUUCUCCAGGAGGAAACUGAGGCCGGGAGCGGAACUGGGUGGGGGCCUUGCAGCGUGGAUUGCAAGGUACGCUCGUUCGGCUUCCGCUUGGACACUUCCCUGAAUGGAGAACUCACUACCUAGCGGAAAACUAGGCACGAUUUGUUGUUAUUCGUAAUAUUUCUCUAGUCGUUCUACAGAUGUUUACCAAGGGUCUGCUGUGUGCCAGGCACUGUGUUAGGUGAUGGGGACACAGCAGUGGACAGACAGACAGAUCCCUGCCCUCCUGGGACUGACGUUCUCAUGGGGGAGACAGACAGUCAAUGAUGAGAUGAUUUCCGUGUGUGAUAAGCGCUGUAAGGAAAGGAAACCGGGAUGAUAAAUUAUCACAAAGGGGAGACUUUGGUAAAAGUAGGCAGGGAAGGCCUUUGUCGGAGGAGGUGACACUUAACUGCAACCCGAGUGAUGAGAAAGGGCAUCUCAAACGACUUUCUGGUUUAAUUCAAUCCCUCGUCCCAUUUCAUAGAUCUGGAGAGGAAGCAGCGGGGGCCUGAGCUGGCAGAGCGUAGAUUGCAAGAGCUUUCACAGCGGGAUGCUUCAGCUUCGAGUUGGUUCCUGUGCUUGGGAGCUCGUUACCUCCUGGCAUGUAGAUACCAUUCAUCAUCAGCAGUAGUAAUAUCGAUUACUAUUUAAAAAAUAAUCGCUGCUAUUUAUCCAGCACGUGCUCUUUGCCCAGCGGUCUGCUAAAUGUCUUACCUGCAUUAUUUCACUGAAUCUUCACCCUGGACCUAAGAAUGUGAAUGUUACCCUCAGGGCACAUCUCAUUUUGGACCAGCCACAUUUUAAGCUCUCAAGAUCCACACGCGGACAAGUGGCUGCCACAUCCGACCGUGCAGAAAUGGAUGAUGGCGCCAUCGGAGAUCUGGAGGGUGGCUUCCUCAAAGUCCAGAUUUAACAGGUGACAGUGUGCCUCCAGGAGACAGCGUGGCUACGGUCAAGACCCUGGAGUCUGCAGCCAGACUGCGGGGUUCAGAUACUAGUUCUGGAACUUGCAAGUUGCAGCUCCAACUUGAAAGGGGGAACCACCCACAAGGCCUCAGAGGGAUGUUGUGAAGAUUAAACGAAGGAAUAAGCACGGAACACUGAGAACAGGGCCUGGCACCUAUUAAAGGCAGUAUGAGGGCUGACUUUUAUUACUGAUUGGAGAUUCAGGAAAGAGAAAAUCUCUCGGGUCCACAUGAAAAGUUGAAGAAUGAACACUCCUUGCAAAACGUCCCAUCCUCAAAGUGGAGGAUGCCCAGGCCGUGGGGGCGCACACAACUUGUCACACACGUGUGGGAUGCACGGGCCACUCCGGGUCCCCCAGGGCGAGCGUGCCCGCCGUCCCUGCUGGAACGGGCCUGCGCCAUCCCAAAGCUUUGGCCGCCUCCCGGUGUCAACACUGCUGCCUGUUCUCCGGUCCUCACUUUUCUGUUCUGAUCUGUGCAGUGACUUGAAUGGCGUGCGCCGCCCCCCCCCCCCCCCCCCCCCCCGCCCCGUCCCAGAUGGGUCCACCUGAGACCUGUGCACGGGAGCUUCUUUGAAAAAAGGGUCUUUGCGGAUUCUAUUCAGGUGAGGAUCUCAGAUGAGCUCCUCCUGGAUUAUCGGGACAGGCCCUGAACCUGACAGCAAGCAUCCUUAGAUGAGAAAGGCAGAGGGUGACAAGACACAGAUCAGAAGAGACGCCACGUGAAGAUGGAGGCAGAGACAGCGUGAGGCAGCCACAAGCUAAGGGCGCCUGAGGCCGCCAGAGGCUGGAGGAGAAGAGCAGGAUCCUCCCCAGAACCUUUGGAGGGAGGGUGGCUCCGCUGACACUUUGAUUUAGGACUUCCAGCCUCCAGAGAAUAAAUUUCUUUUGUUUUAAGCUACCAAGUUGGUAGUAAUUUGUUACAGCAG
Equus asinus (donkey) is the source of this 2176-nucleotide long non-coding RNA. Lineage: Eukaryota; Metazoa; Chordata; Mammalia; Perissodactyla; Equidae. The record is from Ensembl.